ACAAGCAUCCAGUCACCAUCUUUAUCCUCGUAGGUAAGAACAUAUUCUGAGCCAUGAAGAAGAUCCUUCAGCUUGGUCUCACUUAGCACCUCUCUCCCCAGAGCUCCAUGAGAUCCAUAUUGACCUAUAGUAAAGCAGCUGAACAUCUUUUCAAGGGCAGAAGACAGUUCCUGAUAUGCAGGGUAGUUUCUCAAGUCUACUUUCCGUAAAUAAGGGGCACCGUCCAUGCUAACCUUGACAAACAAGGGACCAGACCCUGCUUUUCCAUCCACUUCUUCAGUAUUCUUUGAUGUGGUAGCAAGAGAGUUCUUCCUAAAUGAUCUGAUGGGUGGCCAACCCACAACCUGUGCCUUGGUAGCAGG
This 362-nucleotide unclassified non-coding RNA is filed under the name Hevea brasiliensis (rubber tree). Lineage: Eukaryota; Viridiplantae; Streptophyta; Magnoliopsida; Malpighiales; Euphorbiaceae. The record is from RNAcentral.